Phrynosoma platyrhinos (Desert horned lizard) is the source of this 72-nucleotide non-coding RNA. Lineage: Eukaryota; Metazoa; Chordata; Lepidosauria; Squamata; Phrynosomatidae. The record is from the annotation of a GenBank genome assembly.
GUCAGUGUGGUACAGUGGUUUGAGCACUGGACUAUGAUUCUGGAGACCAGGAUUCAAACCCCCAUUCAGCCA